Molecule: transfer RNA, 67 nt
Filed under: Marmota monax (woodchuck)
Lineage: Eukaryota; Metazoa; Chordata; Mammalia; Rodentia; Sciuridae
Description: tRNA.Ala
Source: RNAcentral
GGUUGUGGUUCAGUGGUAGACUGCUUGUCUAGCAUGUGUGAGGCACUGGGUUCGAUUCUCAGAACCA